AUUGAACGCUGGCGGCAUGCCUUACACAUGCAAGUCGAACGGCAGCACGGGUGCUUGCACCUGGUGGCGAGUGGCGAACGGGUGAGUAAUACAUCGGAACAUGUCCUGUAGUGGGGGAUAGCCCGGCGAAAGCCGGAUUAAUACCGCAUACGAUCUACGGGUGAAAGCGGGGGACCUUCGGGCCUCGCGCUAUAGGGUUGGCCGAUGGCUGAUUAGCUAGUUGGUGGGGUAAAGGCCUACCAAGGCGACGAUCAGUAGCUGGUCUGAGAGGACGACCAGCCACACUGGGACUGAGACACGGCCCAGACUCCUACGGGAGGCAGCAGUGGGGAAUUUUGGACAAUGGGCGAAAGCCUGAUCCAGCAAUGCCGCGUGUGUGAAGAAGGCCUUCGGGUUGUAAAGCAGUUUUGUCCGGAAAGAAAUCCUUGGCCCUAAUACGGUCGGGGGAUGACGGUACCGGAAGAAUAAGCACCGGCUAACUACGUG
RNAcentral lists this ribosomal RNA (486 nucleotides) under uncultured bacterium. RNAcentral's name for it is "partial 16S ribosomal RNA". It matches the Rfam family "Bacterial small subunit ribosomal RNA", at positions 30 to 507 of the family's 1533-position model. The record is from RNAcentral.